This 468-nucleotide ribosomal RNA is filed under the name uncultured bacterium. RNAcentral's name for it is "partial 16S ribosomal RNA". It matches the Rfam family "Bacterial small subunit ribosomal RNA", at positions 28 to 507 of the family's 1533-position model. The record is from RNAcentral.
GACGAACGCCGGCGGCGUGCUUAACACAUGCAAGUCGAACGGAAAGGCCCUGCUUUUGUGGGGUGCUCGAGUGGCGAACGGGUGAGUAACACGUGAGUAACCUGCCCUUGACUUUGGGAUAACUUCAGGAAACUGGGGCUAAUACCGGAUAGGAGCUCCUGCUGCAUGGUGGGGGUUGGAAAGUUUCGGCGGUUGGGGAUGGACUCGCGGCUUAUCAGCUUGUUGGUGGGGUAGUGGCUUACCAAGGCUUUGACGGGUAGCCGGCCUGAGAGGGUGACCGGCGACAGUGGGCCUGAGAUACGGCCCAGACUCCUACGGGAGGCAGCAGUGGGGAAUAUUGCACAAUGGGCGGAAGCCUGAUGCAGCAACGCCGCGUGCGGGAUGACGGCCUUCGGGUUGUAAACCGCUUUCGCCUGUGACGAAGCGUGAGUGACGGUAAUGGGUAAAGAAGCACCGGCUAACUACGUG